UGGCCAGAAAUGGUGAGAAGCAAAAGCAUGAAGAAGCCGCGAAGUGGAGGAGAAAAGGUGAAGGGAGAUGCAGCUCCUGGAGAAAUUGUAAAAAGCCUUGCAAAGAGUUGUCGGAAGGACCGUUAUUCCUGCUGGGCAGGAGCGAGAGGAGAGACCCUGAAACACACGCCACCUAUCUUUGUGGGGAGGGAUAAUUGAAGAGCACCAAACGUGAGCAUCAUGUGGAAACGUGAUCGCCAAGUUUCUCUCUGGGAAAGGAUCUGGGAUAGAUUAUACCUUGAAGUCUCCGCGAAGGGCUUUAGCGGCACAAAUGCAAUUCCACCUCCUCCCGCCCGCCCCCC
Long non-coding RNA from Cygnus olor (mute swan), 341 nucleotides. RefSeq lists it as uncharacterized. The transcript is spliced from 2 exons. The record is from RefSeq and is a predicted model, not a curated record. Lineage: Eukaryota; Metazoa; Chordata; Aves; Anseriformes; Anatidae.